CGGUCCGGCCGGAGGACAAGGAAGCGUGGAAGAAGAACCGAAGCUGUCGAAGCAACGUUCGCGGGAAGUCUAACCGCUUGAAGCACGUUGCAGAGUCGAGACCAGUUGAGCGGCCGGAAUUUUACGAACGAUUAUGCAAGCGUACGUCUUGAGGACGACCAUGAGCCACAUAUCAUCUCAAAUUUCUGCCCGUCAAGCCUUGUGACGAAACGGAAUCGGACUUCUUCAAGGCGCGGAUCCUAAAGUUGUUUGGAUCGCAGAGUGACGCGGAAACCCAGUGACAGUAAGCGGGUGCUAGUACCUCCGACGAGAUGAGUGACUGCCCGGGAGGGCUGGAGGAAGCUUGUGUGAGACAGACUUCACACACGAAAGUUCUCAAAUAGAAGAGGGAAUCAAUGUUCAUCCGGUAAGGUUUGGUAAUUAUCUCCGCCACAGAUGGCCUCCUUGGCGAAUUGUAACCGGCAGACCUUCAAACCGCACAAAGGCUAAGCAAAGCCACAACUGGAUGCAGCAAGACUAAAAGCUUUAUAAUAUACUCUGGCCCAAACCAGGCCAAUCAACGUGCUGGCCUGAACCAGGCCAAUCAACGUGCUGGCCCGAGCCCGGCCCGGGCCCACAGUCAAAAGUCCGAGCCCAUCCCAGGCCUGGGCUUUCGGCUCAGCAAAGUCUGUGGAUCUGGUUAUGCUUCCUGUACGAGACAGAUCACGAAGCGGUUGCUGACUGACCAGUUGGGGCGAAAAUUUUUGUGGGAAGGACGCAAGAGAAAGUUGACAUUCAGGAACCUUCACCUUGCUGAGUGCAUCAUAAAUGCAGUGCAGAGCUGCCAUAAAUGUGAAGACUUCAAGGUAGAAACCAUGGUCACGGAUUAACUUCGCCACGCACCUGCCUGACAUCAGUCAUCUCAAAUGGAACAUUCUGCACCACAGGAGAUAGAGAUGUGAACUGCCUUAAGUGGGCCUUGAAUGUGCUGAGCUUUUUAUUAUGUUUAUCAGACAUUUUUUUUAAGCAAAGUAUCCUGCAUUGUUCAGUAAGUAUACUUUAUUUUGAAAACCUCAUGCUGUCUAUGCAGCAUUGUUCAAAAAUUAUACUUUAUUUUAAAAGCAUCAAGCACUGCUCGUCUGUCUAACAGUAACAAUAAAGAGUUAAUGGUGA
Molecule: long non-coding RNA, 1152 nt
Organism: Ixodes scapularis (black-legged tick)
Lineage: Eukaryota; Metazoa; Arthropoda; Arachnida; Ixodida; Ixodidae
Exons: 7
Source: RefSeq, a predicted model, not a curated record